RNAcentral lists this ribosomal RNA (253 nucleotides) under uncultured bacterium. RNAcentral describes it as "partial 16S ribosomal RNA". It matches the Rfam family "Bacterial small subunit ribosomal RNA", at positions 524 to 776 of the family's 1533-position model. The record is from RNAcentral.
UACGUAGGGUGCGAGCGUUAAUCGGAAUUACUGGGCGUAAAGCGUGCGCAGGCGGCUUUGCAAGACAGAUGUGAAAUCCCCGGGCUCAACCUGGGAACUGCAUUUGAGACUGCAAGGCUAGAGUACGGCAGAGGGGGAUGGAAUUCCGCGUGUAGCAGUGAAAUGCGUAGAUAUGCGGAGGAACACCAAUGGCGAAGGCAAUCCCCUGGGCCUGUACUGACGCUCAUGCACGAAAGCGUGGGGAGCAAACAGG